RNAcentral lists this ribosomal RNA (301 nucleotides) under uncultured bacterium. RNAcentral's name for it is "partial 16S ribosomal RNA". It matches the Rfam family "Bacterial small subunit ribosomal RNA", at positions 509 to 807 of the family's 1533-position model. The record is from RNAcentral.
CAGUAGCCGCGGUAAUACGAAGGGUGCAAGCGUUACUCGGAAUUACUGGGCGUAAAGCGUGCGUAGGUGGUGGUUUAAGUCCGUUGUGAAAGCCCUGGGCUCAACCUGGGAAUUGCAGUGGAUACUGGGUCACUAGAGUGUGGUAGAGGAUAGUGGAAUUUCCGGUGUAGCAGUGAAAUGCGUAGAGAUCGGAAGGAACAUCUGUGGCGAAGGCGACUGACUGGACAAGUAUUGACGCUGAGGUGCAAAAGCGUGGGGAGCAAACAGGAUUAGAUACCCCUGUAGUCCCUGUCUCUUAUAC